UACGAAGGGGGCUAGCGUUGCUCGGAAUCACUGGGCGUAAAGCGCACGUAGGCGGACUCUUAAGUCGGUGGUGAAAUCCUGGAGCUCAACUCCAGAACUGCCUUCGAUACUGGGAGUCUCGAGUUCGGGAGAGGUGAGUGGAACUGCGAGUGUAGAGGUGGAAUUCGUAGAUAUUCGCAAGAACACCAGUGGCGAAGGCGGCUCACUGGCCCGAUACUGACGCUGAGGUGCGAAAGCGUGGGGAGCAAACAGG
This 253-nucleotide ribosomal RNA is filed under the name uncultured bacterium. RNAcentral's name for it is "partial 16S ribosomal RNA". It matches the Rfam family "Bacterial small subunit ribosomal RNA", at positions 524 to 776 of the family's 1533-position model. The record is from RNAcentral.